AAGGAAUAUUGGACAAUGGACGGAAGUCUGAUCCAGCCAUGCCGCGUGCAGGAUGAAGGCGCUCAGCGUUGUAAACUGCUUUUGGAUGGGAAUAAUAAUGUCGACUUGUCGGCACUUGAAGGUACCAUCAGAAUAAGCACCGGCUAACUCCGUGCCAGCAGCCGCGGUAAUACGGAGGGUGCAAGCGUUAUCCGGAAUCACUGGGUUUAAAGGGUGCGUAGGCGGCGCGAUAAGUCAGUUGUGAAAUACCCCGGCUUAACCGGCGGGAGUGCGAUUGAUACUGUUGUGCUUGAAUGAGGUUGAGGUAAGCGGAAUGUGGCAUGUAGCGGUGAAAUGCUUAGAUAUGCCAUAGAACACCAAUUGCGAAGGCAGCUUGCUGGGCCUUAAUUGACGCUGAGGCACGAAAGCGUGGGGAGCAAAC
RNAcentral lists this ribosomal RNA (421 nucleotides) under uncultured bacterium. Its description in RNAcentral is "bacterial SSU rRNA". It matches the Rfam family "Bacterial small subunit ribosomal RNA", at positions 356 to 773 of the family's 1533-position model. The record is from RNAcentral.